This is a long non-coding RNA of Triticum dicoccoides, 2838 nucleotides long. RefSeq lists it as uncharacterized. Lineage: Eukaryota; Viridiplantae; Streptophyta; Magnoliopsida; Poales; Poaceae. The record is from RefSeq and is a predicted model, not a curated record. The transcript has 4 exons.
UUCCUUUCUUAAUCCCGAUCCAAUCUCCAAUCCCCUACGCCGCUCCUCUCCCAAGCUCCCACCCCCAUCCGCCUCCGCCGCCCCCACCAUCUACGCAAUAACCUCGCCAUUGAGAGGCCGAAGGAAGCCACUGCAGCGCCGUCGCCGCUGCAGGCCGUCGGGCACGGCAGGAGGAGCCCUCCGUGCGCCUGCUCUUCCCGACGUUGUCGGGUCACCGUCCAUGGUGUGAUCUCCGUUGCCGCGUUUCCUCCCCGAUGCUGCGCCCACGAACGCGGCUAGCCCAUCCAUCUCAUUGACGCCCGUGUCACCACCUUCGUGGUCCUCCUCCAGCGUCCACCGUGGUGGGAGCAGGGUGCAGCCCGACCAUGACGGGUACCUCCUUCCCGCGCUCCCUCGCCUCCCAGCGUCUACUCGUCGUCGUCAGCCACCAUGGUCGGCAAGGCCAACCUCCACGGCAACUGGAUCUGCCACCACAGCCAUGAGGACGACCAUCCUCCAUGGCCACCCCACUGCCCGCCUCACCAUCGGAUCCGCCGUCCUGGGCAUACACUCGCGCAUGAUCGGCAGAUGUAGGCGUCGCGGGCCGCCUCUACAACGACGAGCACUGUGACUGUCAUCUAUCUAUUUCCCUUUUUUGUAGGAUAUCCAGUGAAUUUUUGAAGUUUUGUUCUACUGAUGAACUAGGUGAUGUCAAACUGAUGAACUAAUUUACUUACUAUAAGUUAAUGAACACUCAAUUCAUACUGUUAGAAUUUGUGUUAUAUAGAUUUGGGGCACUUUUAUGUGCAUAGAUGCUUGGCACUUUGAGAAAUAUUGACAGUUUGUUUGCGCAGCACAUCAGUUUUACUAUCAUCACUUUGAGAAAUAUACAAUUCUAGUGCAACCUGUAUUUGCAUUCUAAAUUAGCUACUUCAUCACAUUCAUGCGUGCAUGAGGUUAAUACAUACUCACAUGUAAAAUGGCUGCAUUCUUUAAGGUCCAGUUCCAAACAAAAUUAAGAGGAAUUCAUUUAGUUUGUGUUGAUACCAUAAGCUGGUACGUAUUUUGGCAGUUCAUUCAGUUCCAUUACCUGCCAUCUUUUGCAGCUUCGGGUAUUACAUCUCAAUGUUUUUUGCAUGAUUUUUUUCCAUAUAUUACUUUGAUGUGCCUAAUUUCUGGAGAUGCCUUUUUUUGCUAGUUGUUCAUCUAAGCUUACUGCUGCCUGAUGCCUCAACUGUGGUUUCUAAUCGGCGACAAGUAGUUGUACAAUAUUUGCAUCAUGUUUGAGAGUAAAGUUGAUAAAUCCAUGUAGGCAGAGUUGUGCUUAUUGAUUUUUCAUGCAGUGGGUAGUGCUCUAUUCCCUACUAGUCCAGUGUGCUUGGUGUUGAUGAGGUAACACAGAAACUCGAGGAACCUUGGUGCCUUGUUGUUGUUGAACUUACGGACUUCCGCACUCAAUAGGGAGAAGGUCUCCUAGCUAGCCACGAGAAGGAGCAUGGCUGCCGGUGGUGUCCGGCGUAGACGAAUUAACUCGGUCUGCUUCUCUGCAUUUUUCCCUUUUUGCAGUUGGCGGUGUUCCCAAUAGAAAAGGCAUGUGACUUUCUUAAUAAUUCUGAUUACUAGUCAUGUUUUGUUGACAAAGUAAGCAAGUACUGAAUUUAUAUUCUAACUAAUAUUCUAAUUAGCCAAGAUAUAUGUUUUUAUGCAAAGUUGGUUAUGUAUUUAUCUGUUCUCAGUUGGAUUCAUUAACUGAUUACCUGAUUGCAUCCUUGUCCGAAACUGAGCUUAUAUCAAUUAAGUAUGUUCGCUUUGAAUCGGUUCAUUUGAUAUUGUUGUGCAUGUCGCUUGCAGUUUCUCUUCCCCAAAACUUUGUAUGCUGUAUUUUAUUAGGCUACCAUUAUCAACAAAUUUAACUUUGAUCUACAACUUUAAUCUUUAUGGGGACCAAUAUCUUCUGUUACUAAUAUGUUAACAUUUGUGUUGCAAAUUCUAACCCUUUGCUUGAGGAUGAUGCAAGACAUAUUGUAAGAAGUAGGGAUGAACAAAGGACUGAAACAACUGUUGAUGCCUUCAAAAAGUCACACAAGAGGAAACUAGCAUAUGCUCCUUGUUCUGAUGACGACGAGGGCUAUUCAAUUAUGUUCAAGAGGAAAAUACUCAUUUGUUAAUCUAGUCCAUGUUAUCUAUCAAUGGUACAUGUCGCAUUAGGCUGCUAUGUAGCUCGUGUUAUUUUUUUCUCAUGUAUUAUGCGAAGUAUGAGCAUGGGGUAUGCUAAAGAUCUGGCGGGUCUGGAAGUUGUACUUCAUUAACACAAAUCCGAGUUCUAGAAGAAAGAAUUGAACAGAAAGAUAUAGAGGCAAGAGAUGCAAAUGACAGGGUUGUAGACUUGACAUCCUAUCAAUGUUGGCGAUAUUGCUUAUCGGGAACUUAUCGGUCGACCCAUGAUAAGGGGUAAAUCGGCCAAUUUAUCAGCAUAUCGACCGAUUUAUCGGCAUAUCGGUUGACUUAUCGGCCGAUAUAUCUUAUCGGUCAGACACUGCAUCAGGAGGAGUUAGUUGCAAGACUUGAAGCAUAAGAGAAAGCAUUUGAAGAGAUAUAGAAGAAGCAACAAGAAGAAUUGGAUGCUCUAAAGAAGAGCCGACAAGAGAAGAAUGAAGCUUGGUCAAAGAAGCAACAAGAGCCAGAUAAUCUUAUUAGUUUCCUCUUGAGGGCUCAAGCAACUCAAUAGUUCGAGUCCAAACUUGAUGGUGCAUGAAUGCCAUCCUUCCAUGAUGGAAAGAUAGUUGUUGAAUCAUACAUUGCAAUCAUUGAGACAACACAUGUGGUCUUUAGUUAACUAUUAGUUUUCAUCUUUUUCUA